This 377-nucleotide ribosomal RNA is filed under the name uncultured eukaryote. RNAcentral describes it as "partial 18S ribosomal RNA". It matches the Rfam family "Eukaryotic small subunit ribosomal RNA", at positions 592 to 975 of the family's 1831-position model. The record is from RNAcentral.
CAAUAGCGUAUAUUUAAGUUGUUGCAGUUAAAAAGCUCGUAGUUGGAUUUCGGGUGGGACGCAGCGGUCUCGCAUUGCGUUUGUACUGCUGCAGCCCUCCUUCUUGCCGGGGGCGGCCUCUCGGACUUCACUGUCUGGGGGUCAGAAUCGGCGAUGUUACUUUGAGUAAAUUAGAGUGUUCAAAGCAAGCUUACGCGCUGAAUAUAAUAGCAUGGGAUAACACGACAGGACUCUGGCCUAUCGUGUUGGUCUAUAGGACCAGAGUAAUGAUUAAGAGGGACAGUCGGGGGCAUUCGUAUUCCGUUGUCAGAGGUGAAAUUCUUGGAUUUACGGAAGACGAACAUCUGCGAAAGCAUUUGCCAAGGAUGUUUUCAUUG